GGGAGGUGGGCAAGACCGAGGGGGUUUUCCUGAGCUGAGUCCCCUGAAGGAGGAGGGGGCCGGGGAAGUUCCCAAAGCUGCUGACAGCUCCUGGUGUCCCCUGUCGCUGGGGUUUCCCUGGCAGUCCUGUCCAGGUGUUCUGCCUGCAGCAGGUCCCGAAGUGGACUCUGAUCACUCAGGAACUUGGAGAGUCCUGCAACAUGUCCAGAACAUCUCCCAGCGUGUUUCCCACCCCACAUGGAUGGAAUUCUGGCAAGAUGUCAAAAUGCUCCGCUGCCACUCAGAGCGGAGAGCGUUGCCCAGCUCUUCCCCGUACUCGUCUGCCGGGCCUGGAGCGAUUGCAGAGCUUAUUUUCGGCAGCUGAAGCGGCAGCAGGAGCGGGAGGGGAGGGCUGGGCUAUCAGUCACCGGGAGAUGCUGCUCACUCCCACGGAGGUGUUUACAGGAGGGGCGUGAGUGUGAGCUGGAGCCAGCUGCCAUUAGCAUUGCAGAUCGGGCACUUGUUAGCGGAGUGCUGCGCCCCUGCUUUACAAUUUGCUAAUAAUAAAGCAUUUG
Lonchura striata (white-rumped munia) is the source of this 554-nucleotide non-coding RNA. The record is from RefSeq and is a predicted model, not a curated record. NCBI's taxonomy places the organism in Eukaryota, Metazoa, Chordata, Aves, Passeriformes, Estrildidae.